GCCCUAGCCGCACUCCCAUAACCACCAUCAUCCUCAGCUCCAACCACCUAACCACCAUCCUCACACCCGUUUUUCUCCGAGCCAAGCUCCAAAUCUCAGGCACCCGUGAACCCAACCCCCGAACCAAGUGACCCCAGGUGCGAGCCCACCUCUGCGUGCCUUCGACCCAGUGGUCUCAUCGUUCUUGGAGAUCGCCGUUGGACAAACUGCCGAGACUGCCAGGCAGUUCUUGCAGGCCACAAGUUGGAAGCUUGAGGAGGCUAUUCAGCUUUUUUAUAUAGGCAGUGAAGGCGGCACUGUAGUGGGAGGAUCGUCUUCUCAAUUUCCGCCUACAGAAAAUAUUGAAGCUUUGGCCAAACAGACUGCUCGUGAAGCCGAAAGGAA
Long non-coding RNA from Humulus lupulus (European hop), 384 nucleotides. RefSeq lists it as uncharacterized. Lineage: Eukaryota; Viridiplantae; Streptophyta; Magnoliopsida; Rosales; Cannabaceae. The record is from RefSeq and is a predicted model, not a curated record. The transcript is spliced from 3 exons.